UCUCGGCUUAUCACCGGCAGUCCCCCUAGAGUGCCCAACUGAAUGAUGGCAACAUAGGACAAGGGUUGCGCUCGUUGCGGGACUUAACCCAACAUCUCACGACACGAGCUGACGACAACCAUGCACCACCUGUGCAGGGCCCCGAAGGACACCGUAUCUCUACGGCUUUUCCCUGCAUGUCAAGCCCAGGUAAGGUUCUUCGCGUUGCCUCGAAUUAAGCCACAUGCUCCGCCGCUUGUGCGGGCCCCCGUCAAUUCCUUUGAGUUUUAGCCUUGCGGCCGUACUCCCCAGGCGGGGCACUUAAUGCGUUAGCUACGGCACGGAGGGCGUUGACCACCCCCCACACCUAGUGCCCAACGUUUACGGCGUGGACUAC
This 376-nucleotide unclassified non-coding RNA is filed under the name uncultured Acidimicrobiia bacterium. RNAcentral describes it as "contains 16S-23S intergenic spacer region". The record is from RNAcentral. Lineage: Bacteria; Bacillati; Actinomycetota; Acidimicrobiia.